CCUAACACAUGCAAGUCGAACGGUAACAGGAAGAAGCUUGCUUCUUUGCUGACGAGUGGCGGACGGGUGAGUAAUGUCUGGGAAACUGCCUGAUGGAGGGGGAUAACUACUGGAAACGGUAGCUAAUACCGCAUAACGUCGCAAGACCAAAGAGGGGGACCUUCGGGCCUCUUGCCAUCGGAUGUGCCCAGAUGGGAUUAGCUAGUAGGUGGGGUAACGGCUCACCUAGGCGACGAUCCCUAGCUGGUCUGAGAGGAUGACCAGCCACACUGGAACUGAGACACGGUCCAGACUCCUACGGGAGGCAGCAGUGGGGAAUAUUGCACAAUGGGCGCAAGCCUGAUGCAGCCAUGCCGCGUGUAUGAAGAAGGCCUUCGGGUUGUAAAGUACUUUCAGCGGGGAGGAAGGGAGUAAAGUUAAUACCUUUGCUCAUUGACGUUACCCGCAGAAGAAGCACCGGCUAACUCCGUGCCAGCAGCCGCGGUAAUACGGAGGGUGCAAGCGUUAAUCGGAAUUACUGGGCGUAAAGCGCACGCAGGCGGUUUGUUAAGUCAGAUGUGAAAUCCCCGGGCUCAACCUGGGAACUGCAUCUGAUACUGGCAAGCUUGAGUCUCGUAGAGGGGGGUAGAAUUCCAGGUGUAGCGGUGAAAUGCGUAGAGAUCUGGAGGAAUACCGGUGGCGAAGGCG
RNAcentral lists this ribosomal RNA (687 nucleotides) under uncultured bacterium. RNAcentral describes it as "bacterial SSU rRNA". It matches the Rfam family "Bacterial small subunit ribosomal RNA", at positions 47 to 723 of the family's 1533-position model. The record is from RNAcentral.